GAUGAACGCUAGCUACAGGCUUAACACAUGCAAGUCGAGGGGUCUUUCUGGAGGCUUGCUUUAGUAAAGACGACCGGCGCACGGGUGAGUAACGCGUAUCCAACCUGCCCUUCCAUAUUGGGAUAGCCUUCCGAAAGGGAGAUUAAUACCGAAUAACAUGAGAAAGUUGCCUGAUUUUCUCAUGAAAGCUCCGGCGAUGAAGGAUGGGGAUGCGUUCCAUUAGGUAGUAGGCGGGGUAACGGCCCACCUAGCCCACGAUGGAUAGGGGUUCUGAGAGGAAGGUCCCCCACACUGGAACUGAGACACGGUCCAGACUCCUACGGGAGGCAGCAGUGAGGAAUAUUGGUCAAUGGGCGCAAGCCUGAACCAGCCAAGUAGCGUGAAGGAUGACUGCCCUAUGGGGUUGUAAACUUCUUUUAUACGGGAACAAAUGUUGGUACGCGUACCGAUUUGCGUGUACCGUAUGAAUAAGCAUCGGCUAACUCCGUG
This 489-nucleotide ribosomal RNA is filed under the name uncultured bacterium. RNAcentral describes it as "bacterial SSU rRNA". It matches the Rfam family "Bacterial small subunit ribosomal RNA", at positions 28 to 507 of the family's 1533-position model. The record is from RNAcentral.